RNAcentral lists this ribosomal RNA (433 nucleotides) under uncultured bacterium. RNAcentral describes it as "partial 16S ribosomal RNA". It matches the Rfam family "Bacterial small subunit ribosomal RNA", at positions 29 to 507 of the family's 1533-position model. The record is from RNAcentral.
AGCGAACGCUGGCGGCAGGCCUAACACAUGCAAGUCGAACGAACUCUUCGGAGUUAGUGGCGGACGGGUGAGUAACACGUGGGAACGUGCCUUUAGGUUCGGAAUAACUCAGGGAAACUUGAGCUAAUACCGGAUGUGCCCUUCGGGGGAAAGAUUUAUCGCCUUUAGAGCGGCCCGCGUCUGAUUAGCUAGUUGGUGAGGUAAAGGCUCACCAAGGCGACGAUCAGUAGCUGGUUUGAGAGGAUGGUCAGCCACAUUGGGACUGAGACACGGCCCAAACUCCUACGGGAGGCAGCAGUGGGGAAUCGUGCGCAAUGGGCGAAAGCCUGACGCAGCCAUGCCGGGUGAAUGAUGAAGGUCUUAGGAUUGUAAAAUUCUUUCACCGGGGACGAUAAUGACGGUACCCGGAGAAGAAGCCCCGGCUAACUUCGUG